This 73-nucleotide transfer RNA is filed under the name Felis catus (domestic cat). It matches the Rfam family "tRNA". Rfam says of the family: Transfer RNA (tRNA) molecules are approximately 80 nucleotides in length. Their secondary structure includes four short double-helical elements and three loops (D, anti-codon, and T loops). Lineage: Eukaryota; Metazoa; Chordata; Mammalia; Carnivora; Felidae. The record is from Rfam by way of RNAcentral.
GCCUGUCUGGCUCAGUUGGUAGAGCAUGCGACUCUUGAUCUCAGGGUUGUGAAUUUAAACCUCACGUGGGGUG